Molecule: ribosomal RNA, 340 nt
Filed under: Dryocoetoides cristatus
Lineage: Eukaryota; Metazoa; Arthropoda; Insecta; Coleoptera; Curculionidae
Description: partial 12S ribosomal RNA
Source: RNAcentral
UUAAAAAUAUUAAACCUGGAUUAUUAGUAGUUAAGUUCUUGAAAUUUAAGAAAGAUGGCGGUAUUUUAGUCUGUUCAGAGGAAUCUGCCCUGUAAUUGAUAAUCCACGAUUUAAUUUACUUGGAUUUUUAGCUUAUAUAUCGCUGUAGCUUGAAUAUUUUUAUUGAAUUUUAAUAUUCAUAGUUUUUAUUAAAAGGAAAUCAAGUCAAGAUGUAGCUUAUAUCUAAGAAGAGGUGGAUUACAUUAUUUGUAUAUGUGGUUAGCAGUUUGUAAUGGCUGCUAUAAAAUGGAUUUGAAAGUAAUUUUUUAAAAAUUUAAAUGAUGAUUUUAGCUCUAAAAUA